AGUAACACGUGGAUAACCUACCUAUAAGACUGGGAUAACUUCGGGAAACCGGAGCUAAUACCGGAUAAUAUUUUGAACCGCAUGGUUCAAAAGUGAAAGACGGUCUUGCUGUCACUUAUAGAUGGAUCCGCGCUGCAUUAGCUAGUUGGUAAGGUAACGGCUUACCAAGGCAACGAUGCAUAGCCGACCUGAGAGGGUGAUCGGCCACACUGGAACUGAGGCACGGUCCAG
This 231-nucleotide ribosomal RNA is filed under the name uncultured Staphylococcus sp. RNAcentral's name for it is "partial 16S ribosomal RNA". It matches the Rfam family "Bacterial small subunit ribosomal RNA", at positions 109 to 334 of the family's 1533-position model. Lineage: Bacteria; Bacillati; Bacillota; Bacilli; Caryophanales; Staphylococcaceae. The record is from RNAcentral.